CCAUAACAUAAGUUAGUAAGACUCCUGGAAGAACACCAGGUUGAUAGGUGAGAGGUGUAAGCAUGGUAACAUGUUCAGCUGACUCAUACUAAUAAGUCGAGGGCUUGACCUAAUU
This 115-nucleotide ribosomal RNA is filed under the name Clostridium argentinense. RNAcentral's name for it is "partial 23S ribosomal RNA". It matches the Rfam family "Bacterial large subunit ribosomal RNA", at positions 2814 to 2925 of the family's 2925-position model. Lineage: Bacteria; Bacillati; Bacillota; Clostridia; Eubacteriales; Clostridiaceae. The record is from RNAcentral.